RNAcentral lists this unclassified non-coding RNA (175 nucleotides) under fungal sp. RNAcentral's name for it is "partial internal transcribed spacer region". The stretch from base 1 to 46 matches the Rfam family "Eukaryotic small subunit ribosomal RNA", at positions 1786 to 1831 of the family's 1831-position model. Lineage: Eukaryota; Fungi. The record is from RNAcentral.
AAGUCGUAACAAGGUUUCCGUAGGUGAACCUGCGGAAGGAUCAUUAACGAAGGCGAGAAUUUCUAGUAGAUUUUCGUUUGAUCAACCACAUUCCAAUAUAGUGCGAUACGUGGGGAAACCCACAGUGCUUUUUAAUAAAAACAAAAAACUUUCAACAACGGAUCUCUUGGCUCUU